RNAcentral lists this ribosomal RNA (959 nucleotides) under Marshallena sp. MNHN IM 2013-9821. RNAcentral's name for it is "12S ribosomal RNA". Lineage: Eukaryota; Metazoa; Mollusca; Gastropoda; Neogastropoda; Horaiclavidae. The record is from RNAcentral.
AUAUCCAAACAGCAAUAAUGUGCUCUACCGGAAAUUCUGUAAAACUAGUACUCAAAUUAAUUUAGUUCUAAUGUAAACUUGGCUCUGAUUUAUUAUAUGACAAAGACUAAAGAACACACAUGGUUUUUAUAGAAGGAGGCGAGGUAGGUAUAGCAAUGUAUUUAAAUAUAAAAUUUAUCAUUCCAUUUAUAUCCUAAAAUAUUAUAUGUAUAAAAAAUGUUUUGAAAAGUCCCGCUAACUCCAGUGUUGAAGGUUAAGAAAAAAGUGUAAACUUGUAUUAAUUUAGUCAACUAAAUUUGGUUAAUUUGGUGCCAGCAUCCGCGGUUACACCAAAAAAUUAAGUCAUAUUUCUAUGGUGAAAAGAUAGUUAAAUAACUAAUUAUGAGGCCUGUUAAUUUUUUAUAUAGAAGUAAAAUUCAAGUAUAAAAAUUUAAUCUAGAUAAAGCCUAUAUAUUGAAUCUAUGACAUCCUCAAGGGAAACUGGGAUUAGAUACCCCAUUAUUUUUGGAUAUAAAUCAAUUAAUUAAUUAAUUUACCAGAGUACUAUGAAUCAUGUAAAAUUUAAAACUCAAAGGGCUUGGCGGUGUUUUAGACUAUUUAGGGGAACUUGUCUCAUAAACGAUAAUCCACGUUAAACCUGACUCUUUUUUGCCCACAGUUUGUAUACCGUCGUCGGCAGGUAACUUUUAAAAAACUAGUAGUUAGCAAAAAAGUAAUAUAAACUGUAACGUCAGAUCUAGGUGCAACCUAUAAAAGAGGGAAGAUGAGUUACAAUUAUAAAUUUAUAAACACGGACUAAUUUAAAAAAAUUAAAUUAUAAAGGAGGACUUAAAAGUAAAUUAUAUAUUAUAUAAACAAUUUGAACAAAGCUCUGAAACGUGCACACAUCGCCCGUCGCUCUCGUUGAAAAAUGAGAUAAGUCGUAACAUAGCAGGGGUAAUGGAAAUUGCCCCUAGAUG